UUCUUUGAACCUAUCUACGUGACUUUACCGAAAGACCCUAAGAAUAUGUCCUGUGCGUGUAUGAUGGGUGCUGGUGCAGUUAACAUUUUAGAAACUGGAAUGUUACCGAGUUGAAGCAACUACAUUUUUCUAAAUGUUGUUGAUGCUAUUAAAAUCGAGUUCAGUACAAGUGUACCCCGAUAUAUAUCAAUGCGAUGAUUCUUUAUUACCUUCGUCAUAUGUUACUGCUUUUUUGUUAGUUAAGUCUCCUUUGUUUCGGAUACAACGUUCUUGUUUUUAAUUCUCCAGUAUUUUUUUUCGGUUUGUGAAGAGAGAAAUAAAACAUUAGCAAAUGGUAAAUGCCCAUUACGUCGUGUGUCCGUGCGUGCAUUGAUGUACACCAUGCGGUUCGUAGCCUAACGUUUCAGAAUCAGAAGAAUGAAUUUGUUACUGGAGGAAUCCGAUGAGCUAUGAAGCUCUUUUUUCACAGAUGUCCAGUAGGGGCGGUUCAGAACGUUACAACAUCAACACACGGGACAACGACAAGAUAGGAGUGCAAAGUCUAAGAAAGGUGCGUGACGUCAUAUAUGGACGGCCCCUUUGCGCAACAUGUGGAGAGUGAAAAUCUCACUCAGACGCAACGGAUUAUGAACGGGUGGCUGGACAAUAAAAAUCUAAAAAUGCCACAUUGUACUGAUAUUCAUGGCCACAGGCCCAACUCAUUCAUGACCAUGGUCACUCACAGAGAAAAUGUUGCAAUGCUGCAUGUACUUUAUGUUCUCGAGCUCAGGUAUGAGAAUGCGUCGGAAGUCUUUGAAAGGUCACGGUGUUGUGUAUUCACUUUGCAUGCGUUUGGUGGCAGUUUCUGCAUUGGCUAUGGUGAGGUUCAGUGCGGUGUUUUUUUUUCGCAUGACUGAUUUCGAAGUACCUUUACUAUGUAUGUAUGGUGAACUUCUUCCGCGCACCAUAAGUUGCCAACCGUGCUAAUCACAAUGGUUAAUUCAUACGCUCGCUUGAGCCAUAUGCCUAUCGACUGAGUUAUCAUCUGUGGUAUCAAUGGUAACUUGAUAUUUGCUUCGCCAUGAAUAACACAAAGGGUUUGGUGGAUGUUGAUCAACAGAUACAAUCCUGCAAAUUGUCAAUUUUAAGUGCAUCGUGAGUGAACAGAAUACCGUGUUCUGUAUAUAUAUAACACACGCGUGGCGCGUGGUUAGCGCAUUCGAACUGACAAGCCCGAGUCCCAGACACGGCUACUAUCAGUGGUGGGGUGAUAUCUAAACCAGUCCUGGGCACCACCCUGCGCUGACCAGUGUGGUGAAAUAUGGUGAAAUAAUUAAAACACCUAUGGAUAACACAGUGUGGCAAAUCCCUUAUCCAGUAGUGCAUCAAUUAUGUACAGGCUUGUGAAUGACCCGCUAUGGAAACAGAAGAUUAGAGGAAUAUGUUUAGGACCCAAAAAAUACUAACAUGGUUUUCUUCAUUGUUAAUACUAACCCCAAAAGCUGUGUAUUCCAGCCCGUCAAACGUGAGAUUUACACGUUUGACAAACUUGAGUUUGAUGCUUUAUUAAUGAGGGAAAACACACUUUAAAACCAAUGCAUUGGCCGAUUUAUAAUCAAGUGCCGUGCUCCAACUGCAGUGACGUCCGGCGCAGGCUAAACAUGUCACCACGUGCAUUCCCAUUCGAUCUGCAUAAUGCUACCACAAGACAUCUCGCAUCGAGCCUAUGAAUUCACCAGGGCUUCAGAAUUAUUAAGCACUUAAAAAAUUAAAUUAAAAAAACUUACUUUCUGAAACUUACUGUCAAUAGGAAUUUUCUUAAUGUGUUUUUUUUAUUAUGUCUUUGCUCGAUAUUUCUAACAAUGUUAUUUAAUUUUGCCUACAAUUUCACUUUUAUUGUUCACGCCUGCAAAGCACAAUGCAUUGCAUUUUGUUUGCGCGAAUAGUGCUAUAGAAAUAAAGUUUCAUUGAUU
Molecule: non-coding RNA, 1952 nt
Organism: Petromyzon marinus (sea lamprey)
Lineage: Eukaryota; Metazoa; Chordata; Hyperoartia; Petromyzontiformes; Petromyzontidae
Source: RefSeq, a predicted model, not a curated record